RNAcentral lists this long non-coding RNA (201 nucleotides) under Mus musculus (house mouse). RNAcentral's name for it is "long non-coding RNA chr7:127156008-127156209". Lineage: Eukaryota; Metazoa; Chordata; Mammalia; Rodentia; Muridae. The record is from RNAcentral.
GGGUCCAUGUAUCCACCUAGCUCUGGUACCUCCAGAGGUGCCAUCUCUACCUCUGGCACAGCCUGUCUGCCUUGAGACUGAGGAAGGCACAGGCAAGCAAGGAGCCAUGAACCACAGGGCCCCAGCCAGCACAGGAUUUGCCCUCAUUCCGUGGAUGAUGAAUCUAUUGGAGUCCAGAAUAAAUGCUGCUCUUUGGCUUCC